CCCUUAGAUGUUCUGGGCCGCACGCGUGCUACACUGAUGCAUUCAACGAGUCUAAAACCUGGUCUGAUAGGGCUGGGUAAUCUUUUGAAAGUGCAUCGUGAUUGGGAUAGAUGAUUGCAAUUCUUCAUCUUCAACGAGGAAUGCCUAGUAAACGCAAGUCAUCAGCUUGCAUUGAUUACGUCCCUGCCCCUUGUACACACCGCCCGUCGCUGCCCGGAACUGAGCCGUUUCGAGAAAGCUGGGGACUGACGGCUUGUGGGUGCGCAAGCACUUCUUGCCGAUGGAAACCAGUUUAAUCGGUAUGGCUUGAACCGGGCAAAAGUCGUAACA
RNAcentral lists this ribosomal RNA (330 nucleotides) under uncultured eukaryote. RNAcentral's name for it is "partial 18S ribosomal RNA". It matches the Rfam family "Eukaryotic small subunit ribosomal RNA", at positions 1470 to 1796 of the family's 1831-position model. The record is from RNAcentral.